CGCGCAGGCGGGUUGGCAAGUCAGAGGUGAAAUCCUACAGCUUAACUGUAGAACUGCCUUUGAGACUGCUAAUCUUGAGUACGGAAGAGAGAGAUGGAAUUCCAGGUGUAGUGGUGAAAUACGUAGAUAUCUGGAAGAACACCAGUGGCGAAGGCGAUCUCUUGGUCCAUUACUGACGCUGAGGCGCGAAAGCGUGGGGAGCAAACA
RNAcentral lists this ribosomal RNA (207 nucleotides) under uncultured bacterium. Its description in RNAcentral is "partial 16S ribosomal RNA". It matches the Rfam family "Bacterial small subunit ribosomal RNA", at positions 568 to 774 of the family's 1533-position model. The record is from RNAcentral.